AUUGAACGCUGGCGGCAUGCUUUACACAUGCAAGUCGAACGGGAACAGGGAGCUUGCUCCGCUGACGAGUGGCGAACGGGUGAGUAAUAUAUCGGAACGUACCCAAGAGUGGGGGAUAACGUAGCGAAAGUUACGCUAAUACCGCAUACGAUCUAAGGAUGAAAGCAGGGGACCUUCGGGCCUUGUGCUCCUGGAGCGGCCGAUAUCUGAUUAGCUAGUUGGUGAGGUAAAGGCUCACCAAGGCGACGAUCAGUAGCUGGUCUGAGAGGACGACCAGCCACACUGGAACUGAGACACGGUCCAGACUCCUACGGGAGGCAGCAGUGGGGAAUUUUGGACAAUGGGCGCAAGCCUGAUCCAGCAAUGCCGCGUGAGUGAAGAAGGCCUUCGGGUUGUAAAGCUCUUUUGUCAGGGAAGAAACGGGAUUGGCUAAUAUCCAGUCCUAAUGACGGUACCUGAAGAAUAAGCACCGGCUAACUACGUG
RNAcentral lists this ribosomal RNA (484 nucleotides) under uncultured bacterium. RNAcentral describes it as "partial 16S ribosomal RNA". It matches the Rfam family "Bacterial small subunit ribosomal RNA", at positions 30 to 507 of the family's 1533-position model. The record is from RNAcentral.